Molecule: transfer RNA, 79 nt
Filed under: Vibrio cholerae LMA3984-4
Lineage: Bacteria; Pseudomonadati; Pseudomonadota; Gammaproteobacteria; Vibrionales; Vibrionaceae
Description: tRNA-Val
Rfam family: tRNA
About the family: Transfer RNA (tRNA) molecules are approximately 80 nucleotides in length. Their secondary structure includes four short double-helical elements and three loops (D, anti-codon, and T loops).
Source: RNAcentral
GCGUCUAUAGCUCAGUUGGUUAGAGCACCACCUUGACUUGACAUGGUGGGGGUCGGUGGUUCGAGUCCACUUAGACGCA